CAUCUUCCAAAAUGUAAGUACAUGUUUUCUUCAAAAUACAACUAGCUCUCUGAUAUCUAUCCAAAAUAUCAACUAGUACACGAGGGUACUCUAAUGCAUAAGGAAAAGCUACUAACUAGGCUCACUUAGGGCGCUAUGCCCUUGCCGCGGUCCUCACUCAGCUCGCCUCUGUGUGUGCCUGUACCCCAAAACCACACGGGGUGAGAACUAUAUAAAUAUAGUUUCCAGUGGGUUCGGCCGCCGACGCCGCCGAUUUUCCCACUAGGUCUAAGCUGGCAUAGAUAGAGAGAUAGAUAGAUAUGUAAAGAGAUAAACUGCAACUACUCUAUCAUGCUAUCAAUGAUGAUAAUGCAUGCAACAACUAUUUUCAUGCAGAAUCAUGUCAUGAUAUAUAAAAGUACAUAGCAAUGCAAUCUUACAACAUACACUAUGUCUACUCGAAGUAAUAUGCAAGUCUACUAUGCAUCUCAUGUUUAUUACAAUCUACCUAGGCCAACUUGCCUAAGAUCUCAAAUCUUAAGGUCCUAGACAAGAGCUACCCGCUCCUUGCCCGAUAAUCUGAAGGUCUAAAAGACGUACCCGCUCCUCGCUCGACAUCAGUCGAAGGUCCUAGGCAAAGAGCUACCCGCUCUCGCCCGACUCAUCUCUCUCUACUAGGCGUACGAGCCGCCCUGCCAUAGUAAUGGAACUAUACACAUGCUACUAUGCCUCUGUAAAUAUGAAUGCAUGGACAUAGCAAUGAUUUCUAUAAUCAUGAAUACUAUGCUUCAACAAUAAUGAAAUGAGCUACUACAUAGUGAUGUAUCUACAACAUGCUACUAUGUCUCAAUAAUCCGAAUGAACGAGCUACUACAUAGUGCGUCGUGCAACUAUGCCUCGAUAAUAUCCAAUCUCAUGGCUAACCCGAAGGUUGCCACCCCAGGGACAACCACGACUCACUUUCAAUCUCAUAGGUGAGGAGAAACUGCACUCGCACACCGAGACCGUCUGCGGGACAACCCUGUGAGAUACUCCGGAGACUCAUGCCUCGGUGGAGCGACCACCGACAAGCGAAAACAGACUAGUGAGUAUAAUCCAAUCCUCUCAAGAGGAUACCCUAUUUACAAGGGUCAAUGUGCCUCAACUGCACUAAUGCCAAAUGCAUAAUGUCUACAACAUGACAAUAGGAAAAAUCUACUAUACUAAUUCAAUGUCGCUUGUUUUCAUCAUCACAAGUCCAAGUUCAUCAUCAUUCUUGUCACUAUAGGAUUCUUGUCACAUGACCCAAUCCUCAUGCAACCUAAGUUCAAGUGUCAAGCCCAUAAUGCUACACUACCAUAGGAAACAUGUAAGGAAAUGGAAUGUAAUCAUCUACUAAUCCUAUAAUGAACAAUAUCAAUAUAUGAAUAUGAUCAAAAAUAAAACUUAGACAUAAAAGGAAGCCCGGAUGUUUCGGUAUGACACCCCCCACCUUUUACCGCUAUCACGAGGCUAGGUUCUCAAUUGCACGUUCCCUAGUCGCCGCUUUACUCUUCGGUCGCACCUGCUCGACGAAUCGACGAACCGACGCUUCACACGCGUUUAGGCACCUCAAACACAAGCUUUUCCUCAAACCAAGUAAUGAAGAGGAUGAAGACUUCACCUCCAAGCAACCUUUUUCUUCUCCAAAUGCACCUCCAAUUCCUCCCUUUGGUGGAGAAAUUGUUGGAGAGAGAGAGGUAUUUCUCUUUGGUUGCAAGUGUGAGGGAGAAAGAAAGAAAAUGCUCAAGUCCCCUAUAUAUAUAUAGGAAACUUGGCCUCCAAGUUUCAUAGGAAACUUGGUCUCCAAGUGUCAUAGGAAACUUAGCCUCCAAGUUUCAUCCAAGUUAUCUAGGAAACUUGGCCUCCAAGUUAUCUAGGAAACUUGGCUUCCAAGUUAUCCAAGAAUACUAUUCACAUUUGGUUUAGCAGCACGGUACAGAUAUUUUUCGUCUGCCCUGUCUCUCACAGAAAAUUCUAAAUCUUCUGUUUUCGCUUUCAUUUCAACACGGGUCACUCUAGACUUAUAAUUUAUGUCUAUAAGUCCAAUAAAAAUAGUAUCCCACACUAUUUUUAUUUAUUUUCACUUUUACAUUUAAAAUCCGGUACCUUACAUCGGCACUAUCAACAUAGUUAUGAGCAUGUCAUAGUUCUCUAUGUUAGAGUCAAGAGAAUGUCAUUGUUCUCUACUUUAAAGUGCAUCCUACACUUGUUCAUAAGCCAUUCAACUGUAUUGAAUAUGAAUAGAAAUACUUUCAUGUAUAUAUGUUCUCUAUAUCAUAGAAACAUAAUAAACUGAUCUCCUGAUUGUUCUACUGAACUAAACAAGAAUACUUUAAUGCAUGAGUACUUUUAUGCAUGAACGCUCAUUUCACAUAUGAUAAACGUCAUGAUGACGAAUUCCGAGCCCUUUAACAAUCACAUAGGCAUAUAAUUAAACCGCGUCUAUAAUACAUAUAGAACAUAGGGGAGCUUCACUUGCUCUGGUUAGGUCAAACCCACCUAUUACUAGGCUUCAAUCAGUCCAAAGAAAAUCCCAAAGUCCGCUCCACAAGGUCUCAACUCUGCUGAAAAACAAGGCAUGAAAGUGGCAUCAAUACUACAAUCGAAAUGUCCGAUCUCAUCACAAUUUGCACUUAGUACACAGUAGUAGCUUGAAUCCCUGCUUUGGGCUAGUUAAUACCUCAAGAUGAGUCUCCAAGAGCUCUCACAAGUCCACUAAAGGUGCUCUAAAGCUCGGUCGCACUCUCGCUGCAAACCACGUC
RNAcentral lists this long non-coding RNA (2762 nucleotides) under Ananas comosus (pineapple). RNAcentral's name for it is "long non-coding RNA (ACOM_LNC043535)". Lineage: Eukaryota; Viridiplantae; Streptophyta; Magnoliopsida; Poales; Bromeliaceae. The record is from RNAcentral.